Molecule: ribosomal RNA, 429 nt
Filed under: Chloroflexota bacterium
Lineage: Bacteria; Bacillati; Chloroflexota
Description: Chloroflexi bacterium partial 16S ribosomal RNA
Rfam family: Bacterial small subunit ribosomal RNA
Source: RNAcentral
UGGGGAAUAUUGCACAAUGGGCGCAAGCCUGAUGCAGCCAUGCCGCGUGUAUGAAGAAGGCCUUCGGGUUGUAAAGUACUUUCAGCGGGGAGGAAGGCGGUGAGGUUAAUAACCUCAUCGAUUGACGUUACCCGCAGAAGAAGCACCGGCUAACUCCGUGCCAGCAGCCGCGGUAAUACGGAGGGUGCAAGCGUUAAUCGGAAUUACUGGGCGUAAAGCGCACGCAGGCGGUCUGUCAAGUCGGAUGUGAAAUCCCCGGGCUCAACCUGGGAACUGCAUUCGAAACUGGCAGGCUAGAGUCUUGUAGAGGGGGGUAGAAUUCCAGGUGUAGCGGUGAAAUGCGUAGAGAUCUGGAGGAAUACCGGUGGCGAAGGCGGCCCCCUGGACAAAGACUGACGCUCAGGUGCGAAAGCGUGGGGAGCAAACAGG